RNAcentral lists this ribosomal RNA (42 nucleotides) under Masdevallia sanctae-fidei. Its description in RNAcentral is "partial 26S ribosomal RNA". The record is from RNAcentral. Lineage: Eukaryota; Viridiplantae; Streptophyta; Magnoliopsida; Asparagales; Orchidaceae.
AUGCGACCCCAGGAUGGGCGCCCCCGCUGAGUUUAAGCAUAU